UGAGAGGGACGCUCGGAGCUCACGCGUCGCGCAGAAGUCAGCAUCUGCUUCCCCGUGUUCCUCCUGCGAGACACAAUUACGCUGCUUAAUUCCCAAAGGAAUUUUGAACUGCCAAUUUGGGUGGAGUAAUUGUGUUCUGAAGCGGGAAAGUGCACCAGAGCCGCCUCACACUGUGUGCAGGAGGAGAUGAGUGGCUCCUCCGCGGCCUGACGGACCAGCCAUCCCCCGAUAUACCCCAGGACCUCGUGGAUGGUGUCCUCCUCAAACGGCUCCUGGGACAGUCCUGAUUCAGUUUGGCUGUGCAGAGGAAUCUAAAUCCUUCAGACUCCUUCCCGAGCCGCCCUGAAAUCCGAAGGAUGCUCCUGAUGGUCAGAAGGAGGCCACGCUGGCAUGGGGGAGUGAAUCUGGACCUGAAGGUCCAAGAUGCGAUCCACUUCAGGGACUCUGCCAGGAGAGUCAAUUGCCGGAAACUCCUUGGACUCAGAGGUCGGCGCCAUGGAUUGGCAUCGGAAAUGGAUCUGAGGGCACAUGAGCCUAGCCUGAUCCUGACCAUCCCAUAAUACUUUGUAGUGGAGCCAAUCUUUGGCGGAAAUACUUGGAUGGCUCGUGAGGCUAACAUGAGCCCAUCCUAUUUACACUUGAUGAAUACUUGACAGUCAUUUUGUAAUGGGAUGAUAGAUCAAUAAAAGUAUUGUUUAUGAAACA
Long non-coding RNA from Engraulis encrasicolus (European anchovy), 705 nucleotides. RefSeq lists it as uncharacterized. Lineage: Eukaryota; Metazoa; Chordata; Actinopteri; Clupeiformes; Engraulidae. The record is from RefSeq and is a predicted model, not a curated record. The transcript has 5 exons.